CCUUUACUAAAACUCGGGUUUGGGCUCCACAUGAUAUGUUAUUGUUGUUGAAGCCCAACUCAUUCUCACAAGGUUCUGAAAUUCAAACACUUGGAAGUGUCUCACUAUAUAUUCUGUAUCUGGAAGUGUAAACUGUGAAGAGGAGAAAUCAUGUGUCAUAGUUACAAAGCUCUGGUUCUAAUUCAAAAAAUGGUGAAAGUGCCUCCAACAAAAGCACUUUCUUUGUUCAAUUCUUUAAACCAUCACCACACCCCUCAAUCUAUUUCCUUCAUUCUUAACCAUCUUCUCUCCUCUGCCAUGCUCUCCCAUGCCCAUUCACUUCUCCUCCGCCUCAUCUCCGGCAGAAUUUCCUCUCCUUUCUUCUCUCCAUCAUCACUCAUGCACCAACUCACACACACCCAGUUCAUUCAUAAUUCAACACAUACUCUUCUCUACGAGGCAAUCAUUAAUGCCUAUGUUCAUUCUCACUUACCUGAUCAAGCUCUCUGUUUCCUCAACCACAUGGUUCGUAAUGCCCAUUUUCCAACAUCAAACACCUUUAAUAACCUUUUGAUCUUGCUCCUUAGAUCUAAUUGUUUUGGUAAAGCAUGGCUGCUUUUCAAUGAAAUGAAGGGUAAGGUUGCUAUGGAUGUCUACAGUUUCGGGAUUAUGAUCAAGGGUUGCUGUGAAGUUGGUGACUUGAUCAAGAGUUUUCGGCUUUUGGCUUUGUUGAUUCGCAUGGGUUUCUCUCCAAAUGUUGUCUUAUACACUACCUUGAUUGAUGGUAGUUGCAAGAUUGGUUAUGUUCAUUUGGCAAAGAAGGUGUUUUGUAAGAUGGAGGGGUUGGGCUUAGUUCCCAAUCAGCACACUUACAGUGUAUUGAUAAACGGGUUCUUCAAGCAUGGCCUUCAAAAGGAAGCAUUUCUAAUGUAUGAAAAUAUGAAGCAGAGAGGAACGGUGCCCAAUGUUUAUGCUUACAAUUGUAUCAUCAAAGAAUAUUGUAAGGAUGGGAAUGUAGAUAAGGCUUUUAAGGUGUUCGAUGAAAUGCGUGAGAAAGGUGUGGCAUAUGGUAUUGUAACGUAUAAUAUUUUGAUUGAUGGGUUGUGCAGAUUGAAGAAGCUUCAGGAAGCAGUAAAGUUGGUUGAUAAAGUGUAUCUUGUUGGCUUAACUCCUAAUUUAGUUACAUAUAAUACACUAAUCAAUGGUUUUUGUGGCAUUGGAAAGAUGGACACUGCUGUUAGAUUAUUUAAUCAAUCAAAGGCAAUUGGACUAUCGCCAUCAUUGGUGACCUACAAUACUUUGAUUGCAGGGUAUUGUAAUAUUGGAAAUUUGGAUAGAGCUCUUAACAUGGUCAAGGAAAUGGAGGAGAGAAGCAUUGCUCCUUCCGAAGUGACUUAUACAAUCCUUAUUGAUGCUUUUGUACAAUUAAAUCAUAUGGACAAAGCAUUUGAAAUAAAGUCUUUAAUGGAGAAGUCUGGUUUGAAUUUAGAUGUUUUUACAUGUAGUAUCCUUUUGCAUGGGUUUUGUAUGAACGGUCAUAUGAAAGAAGCAUCAAAGCUCUUCAAAUCAUUGGGUGAGCUGCGCUUGGAACCAAACAGUGUCAUUUAUAAUAUCAUGAUUCAUGGUUAUUGCAAAGAAGAAAGCUCUUACAGGGCUCUUAGAUUACUCAAAGAAAUGAUUGACAAUGGAAUGGUUCCAAAUUUGGCUAGCUUUUGUUCAACCAUAGGGCUUCUUUGCAAGGAAGGAAAGUGGAAGGAAGCGGAGUUUCUCAUACAGAAGAUGAUAAAUUCAGGAUUGGAGCCCUCAGUUUCUUUGUACAAUAUGAUUUACCAAGCCAAAAGUGAAGUUCUGGUACAAUAGCCAUGAAAAUAAUAUAACAGAUUCAUAGCUUUACUUUAUCUUCCAUUCUGCUUCAUAUCAUAGUAUAAAUUAUGAUAAUUAAUCAAGCUCAUUUAAGAAUAUUUUUUAAUUUAUUUGUUGCUCAAUUUGAUUACGAUAGAAUAUCUUGAGUGCAUAUUUCUGCAUUUUGGCAUACAAUGGGAAGGUAAGAAAUUGAAUCUUAGAAUGUUUACAAUCAUUCUUAUUUGUGAUAAACCGAGACAAAUCAACUAUUCUACUAGCCACCUACUUGAAUGUAGUUAAAGUGGUGCAACAACCUUGGAGCUUUGCUGGCGUGAAUGAGCAAGUUACAUUAGACAAGUUUGAUGGAGGUGGUCAUAACAACUCCAUUUGAUGGAGCUGCCAAAACUAUUUAUAGAAUUGGCGCAACUUACUUUGCUGUAUUUACUAAUGAGCACAUCCCUUGCCCGCAUCUGAAUUCUGAAGAUGUGGUCCUGGUCGACAUUCGGCGAUGGUUGGCGGCUUAGCUGCUACCGGAAAUCCCCUUAACGCAUGGAUCAAGGAUGCAUCGUAAGGGUAAGGAGAAAGCCACUCCAUUGGCUCCCAUCCCUGUCCGUUCGAGCACGCAGCCGGACAUUUUCAUUAAUGAGGAGGCCGAAGAACAAUACAGAAAAUUGGAGAAAAAGGCCUUCCAUUAUGAAAGGAUGAUGAAUGUGCCGGAGAAACAUGCUGAAGCCAUCCACAACCGGCUAGAGUAUUAUGGAUGGAAAUUCAUAGAGUUUGACGCUGUGGAAAUCAAUGAGCAACUAGUUAAAGAAUUCUAUGCAAAUCUGCUGAAGGGAGACACCGAGACCGUUUUUCUUAGAGGGGUGCAGUUAGACACCUCCCCACAUUCUUUAGAGGCUCUUUUUCAGAUUCCUCAUAUUCCGCCAAGUCGAGAAUAAGUAAUGAUGGAAAUUAGAUAAAAUAAUUCCAUUGUGAGUAUAGUCCAAACCGGCAAUUCAAUCCUCUCAAUCAAAGUUUGAUAUUUUUCAAUUAAAAAUAAUACCGAGAGUAAUUAAACUUUGAGUCGUCUCCCUCGAACAAUGCACAUAAGGGUGUCAUGCUCUUGGUUGUGAGGAUACGGGGUUUUGAAAUCAAAGAACGAAAGAUUGAAAGAACUUAAGAAAUAAAAGAACUAAGAGAUGAUCAAAGUUGGAAUUAAUGCAAUUAAAAGGAAACAAGGUCAAAACUAGUGAAAAUGCUAUAAAUGCAUAAAGAGCCUUGACAUGGGAAUGAGAAUUAAGGAAUCCUAUCAUCAUCAUAACUACAACUAUGGAAACUAUGAUGAGUCAAUUUCGCUUCGUCAAGCCCUAACAUCGAGGAGUAAGUCAAGAAAGCACAAUUGACCUUAAUCCAUAAGUCAUAGCUGAUUUAGUAAUUGCUUAGUAAGAAGCUAGCGUCAAUGAAAACAAGAGUUAACUAACUACCUAAGAAUUACCACUAAAUGUCAGACAUUAUGACUCUAGUAUCCUAGAAACUCAUGUCCCAAGGCAAGGUGUGAAAAUCUACUCAAAAUCCGAAGUUGGCAUUUUCACAAACACCUUGUGGGCAUAAAACCAAAACAUGAGAAAUUACAAGGGAGAAUAGAAAACUAUAACCAACUAUUCACAAUAUCAACUAUAAACAUUCAAUCAAACAUA
Molecule: RNA transcript, 3500 nt
Organism: Arachis stenosperma
Lineage: Eukaryota; Viridiplantae; Streptophyta; Magnoliopsida; Fabales; Fabaceae
Gene name: pentatricopeptide repeat-containing protein At4g11690-like
Exons: 2
Source: RefSeq, a predicted model, not a curated record